RNAcentral lists this ribosomal RNA (515 nucleotides) under uncultured bacterium. RNAcentral's name for it is "partial 16S ribosomal RNA". It matches the Rfam family "Bacterial small subunit ribosomal RNA", at positions 28 to 523 of the family's 1533-position model. The record is from RNAcentral.
GAUGAACGCUGGCGGCGUGCCUAAUACAUGCAAGUCGAGCGAAUGGAUUAAGAGCUUGCUCUUAUGAAGUUAGCGGCGGACGGGUGAGUAACACGUGGGUAACCUGCCCAUAAGACUGGGAUAACUCCGGGAAACCGGGGCUAAUACCGGAUAACAUUUUGAACCGCAUGGUUCGAAAUUGAAAGGCGGCUUCGGCUGGUACUUAUGGAUGGACCCGCGUCGCAUUAGCUAGUUGGUGAGGUAACGGCUAACCAAGGCAACGAUGCGUAGCCGACCUGAGAGGGUGAUCGGCCACACUGGGACUGAGACACGGCCCAGACUCCUACGGGAGGCGGCAGUAGGGAAUCUUCCGCAAUGGACGAAAGUCUGACGGAGCAACGCCGCGUGAGUGAUGAAGGCUUUCGGGUCGUAAAACUCUGUUGUUAGGGAAGAACAAGUGCUAGUUGAAUAAGCUGGCACCUUGACGGUACCUAACCAGAAAGCCACGGCUAACUACGUGCCAGCCGCCGCAGUAA